RNAcentral lists this ribosomal RNA (253 nucleotides) under uncultured bacterium. RNAcentral's name for it is "partial 16S ribosomal RNA". It matches the Rfam family "Bacterial small subunit ribosomal RNA", at positions 524 to 776 of the family's 1533-position model. The record is from RNAcentral.
UACAGAGGUCCCGAGCGUUGUUCGGAUUCACUGGGCGUAAAGGGUGCGUAGGCGGUCGGGUAAGUCUGAUGUGAAAUCUCCAAGCUCAACUUGGAAACUGCAUCGGAUACUAUUCGGCUUGAGGGUUGGAGGGGGGACUGGAAUGCUUGGUGUAGCGGUGAAAUGCGUAGAUAUCGGGAGGAACACCGGUGGCGAAGGCGGUUCUCUGGGCCUGACCUGACGCUGAGGAGCGAAAGCGUGGGGAGCGAACAGG